Onychostoma macrolepis is the source of this 940-nucleotide long non-coding RNA. RefSeq lists it as uncharacterized. The transcript has 5 exons. NCBI's taxonomy places the organism in Eukaryota, Metazoa, Chordata, Actinopteri, Cypriniformes, Cyprinidae. The record is from RefSeq and is a predicted model, not a curated record.
GCCAUCGUUUGUCUCCGCUUCAUGCACCGAUCCCCGCGCAUCUCCUGCUCCGGCGGCACACGCCCUGCUCCUCACAGACAAUAGACGGAGCGAGCUGCUGAUAGAAUUUUCUGGAUUCUUCACUCGCCUCGUCGUCAGACGGUCAAGCAACUCGCAGCAAGCAGGAUUAUAAGAAUCUGUUUUGCCUCCUAAAAAAAUUUGAGAAAUGGUGGAUUCGCAGCAAUGGGUCUACAAGCAUCCCAGAAAUCUUGAAGGAGUUCCCCAGGCUUCUAGGAAAACUUGGCAUGAUGCUAAAAGGGAGAGUGCUUUCAAAGUCCUGCCCACUCUGCUUCCCCUAUCAAUAUACAAGAGCGGAGGAAAGGUCUUCAGACCCACAACCAGAAUCCUGGAAGUCAUUCAUUUGACGCACAACCUGUGGGGACCAACAUGGUGAUGCAUUCCUGCACGUGUUGUGCCUUGGUGACGAGACAACGACAUCCCACACCUUCGCCAUUGUUUCAGGCCAUGCCAUUGAAACGGACUUGUUGCUUGAGGCUGUUUAUCUUUUUCAAGUCCUUUUUUGUGCUUGAUGUUAGCUACACUAACAUCUUCCUUCCUGGGAAUUUCUCCAGCAUGGAGUAUAUCAUAUUGAUGGACAUGAGUCUUCUUUUGUGAAGUUUUUGAGGGCAACAGUUUUUUCUGGCCACUUGUAACGUUUAAAUUUUUUGUCACAUGUAUUGUCUGUUGUAGGUUUCUUUGUUUGGCUUAGUUUUAAUGGCACAAAUGUUUGGACUGAUUCUCAUGUGGCAAUAAUCAGUUUCAUAGUGUUAUGAUGCUGCAAUGUUGACAUAGAAUAGGAAUCUAUUCUAUGUCAACAUUGUCAAUAAGUUUUGUGAUUUAAAGAAACUGAUCUACAAAAAACGUUGUUUUAUUUGUCUCUGUAGGGGUUGGAUAUAAUGUG